GUAAAAAAUUUAUAAGAAUAUGAUGUUGGUUCAGAUUAAGCGCUAAAUAAGGACAUGACACAUGCGAAUCAUACGUUUAUUAUUGAUAAGAUAAUAAAUAUGUGGUGUAAACGUGAGUAAUUUUAUUAGGAAUUAAUGAACUAUAGAAUAAGCUAAAUACUUAAUAUAUUAUUAUAUAAAAAUAAUUUAUAUAAUAAAAAGGAUAUAUAUAUAAUAUAUAUUUAUCUAUAGUCAAGCCAAUAAUGGUUUAGGUAGUAGGUUUAUUAAGAGUUAAACCUAGCCAACGAUCCAUAAUCGAUAAUGAAAGUUAGAACGAUCACGUUGACUCUGAAAUAUAGUCAAUAUCUAUAAGAUACAGCAGUGAGGAAUAUUGGACAAUGAUCGAAAGAUUGAUCCAGUUACUUAUUAGGAUGAUAUAUAAAAAUAUUUUAUUUUAUUUAUAAAUAUUAAAUAUUUAUAAUAAUAAUAAUAAUAAUAUAUAUAUAUAAAUUGAUUAAAAAUAAAAUCCAUAAAUAAUUAAAAUAAUGAUAUUAAUUACCAUAUAUAUUUUUUAUAUGGAUAUAUAUAUUAAUAAUAAUAUUAAUUUUAUUAUUAUUAAUAAUAUAUUUUAAUAGUCCUGACUAAUAUUUGUGCCAGCAGUCGCGGUAACACAAAGAGGGCGAGCGUUAAUCAUAAUGGUUUAAAGGAUCCGUAGAAUGAAUUAUAUAUUAUAAUUUAGAGUUAAUAAAAUUAAUUAAAGAAUUAUAAUAGUAAAGAUGAAAUAAUAAUAAUAAUUAUAAGACUAAUAUAUGUGAAAAUAUUAAUUAAAUAUUAACUGACAUUGAGGGAUUAAAACUAGAGUAGCGAAACGGAUUCGAUACCCGUGUAGUUCUAGUAGUAAACUAUGAAUACAAUUAUUUAUAAUAUAUAUUAUAUAUAAAUAAUAAAUGAAAAUGAAAGUAUUCCACCUGAAGAGUACGUUAGCAAUAAUGAAACUCAAAACAAUAGACGGUUACAGACUUAAGCAGUGGAGCAUGUUAUUUAAUUCGAUAAUCCACGACUAACCUUACCAUAUUUUGAAUAUUAUAAUAAUUAUUAUAAUUAUUAUAUUACAGGCGUUACAUUGUUGUCUUUAGUUCGUGCUGCAAAGUUUUAGAUUAAGUUCAUAAACGAACAAAACUCCAUAUAUAUAAUUUUAAUUAUAUAUAAUUUUAUAUUAUUUAUUAAUAUAAAGAAAGGAAUUAAGACAAAUCAUAAUGAUCCUUAUAAUAUGGGUAAUAGACGUGCUAUAAUAAAAUGAUAAUAAAAUUAUAUAAAAUAUAUUUAAUUAUAUUUAAUUAAUAAUAUAAAACAUUUUAAUUUUUAAUAUAUUUUUUUAUUAUAUAUUAAUAUGAAUUAUAAUCUGAAAUUCGAUUAUAUGAAAAAAGAAUUGCUAGUAAUACGUAAAUUAGUAUGUUACGGUGAAUAUUCUAACUGUUUCGCACUAAUCACUCAUCACGCGUUGAAACAUAUUAUUAUCUUAUUAUUUAUAUAAUAUUUUUUAAUAAAUAUUAAUAAUUAUUAAUUUAUAUUUAUUUAUAUCAGAAAUAAUAUGAAUUAAUGCGAAGUUGAAAUACAGUUACCGUAGGGGAACCUGCGGUGGGCUUAUAAAUAUCUUAAAUAUUCUUACA
This 1649-nucleotide non-coding RNA is filed under the name Saccharomyces cerevisiae YJM195. RNAcentral describes it as "15S ribosomal RNA". It matches the Rfam family "Bacterial small subunit ribosomal RNA". The record is from RNAcentral. Lineage: Eukaryota; Fungi; Ascomycota; Saccharomycetes; Saccharomycetales; Saccharomycetaceae.